GGUUAAGUGACUAAGCGUACACGGUGGAUGCCUAGGCAGUCAGAGGCGAUGAAGGGCGUGCUAAUCUGCGAAAAGCGUCGGUAAGGUGAUAUGAACCGUUAUAACCGGCGAUACCCGAAUGGGGAAACCCAGUGUGUUUCGACACACUAUCAUGUCAUGAAUACAUAGUGGCAUGAGGCGAACCGGGGGAACUGAAACAUCUAAGUACCCCGAGGAAAAGAAAUCAACCGAGAUUCCCCCAGUAGCGGCGAGCGAACGGGGAGGAGCCCAGAACCUGAAUCGGCUUGUGUGUUAGUGGAAGCGUCUGGAAAGUCGCGCAGCAAAGGGUGAUAGCCCCGUACACUAAAAUGCACAGUCGUGAGUUCGAUGAGUAGGGCGGGACACGUGACAUCCUGUCUGAAUAUGGGGGGACCAUCCUCCAAGGCUAAAUACUCCUGACUGACCGAUAGUGAACCAGUACCGUGAGGGAAAGGCGAAAAGAACCCCGGCGAGGGGAGUGAAAUAGAACCUGAAACCGUGUACGUACAAGCAGUGGGAGCACCUUCGUGGUGUGACUGCGUACCUUUUGUAUAAUGGGUCAGCGACUUAUAUUUUGUAGCAAGGUUAACCGUAUAGGGGAGCCGUAGGGAAACCGAGUCUUAACUGGGCGACUAGUUGCAAGGUAUAGACCCGAAACCCGGUGAUCUAGCCAUGGGCAGGUUGAAGGUUGGGUAACACUAACUGGAGGACCGAACCCACUCCCGUUGAAAAGGUAGGGGAUGACUUGUGGAUCGGAGUGAAAGGCUAAUCAAGCUCGGAGAUAGCUGGUUCUCCUCGAAAGCUAUUUAGGUAGCGCCUCAUGUAUCACUCUGGGGGGUAGAGCACUGUUUCGGCUAGGGGGUCAUCCCGACUUAGCAAAACGAUGCAAACUCCGAAUACCCAGAAGUGCCGAGCAUGGGAGACACACGGCGGGUGCUAACGUCCGUCGUGAAGAGGGAAACAACCCAGACCGCCAGCUAAGGUCCCAAAGUCAUGGUUAAGUGGGAAACGAUGUGAGGAUCCCAAAACAACCAGGAUGUUGGCUUAGAAGCAGCCAUCAUUUAAAGAAAGCGUAACAGCUCACUGGUCUAGAUUUAAGGGUUCUUGCGCCGAAAAUGUACCGGGGCUCAAGCCAUACACCGAAGCUGUGGGUUUGCACUUUGUGCAAGCGGUAGCGGAGCGUUCCCUAGGCUGUUGAAGCGGGACCCGUGAGGGCCCGUGGAGGUAUGGGAAGUGCGAAUGCUGACAUGAGUAACGAUAAAGGGUGUGAGAGACACCCUCGCCGAAAGUCCAAGGGUUCCUGCUUAAAGUUAAUCUGAGCAGGGUUAGCCGGCCCCUAAGGCGAGGCCGAAAAGCGUAGUCGAUGGGGAUACGGGUUAAUAUUCCCGUACUUCUAGUUACUGCGAUGGAGGGACGGAGAAGGCUAGGCCAGCUUGGCGUUGUUUGUCCAAGUUUAAGGUGGUAGGCAGAGUGCUUAGGAAAAAUCCGGGCGCUCAAUGCCGAGAGCUGAUGACGAGUUAUCUUUUAGAUGACGAAGUGGUUGAUGCCAUGCUUCCAGGAAAAGCUUCUAAGCUUCAGGUAACUAGGAACCGUACCCCAAACCGACACAGGUGGUUGGGUAGAGAAUACCAAGGCGCUUGAGAGAACUCGGGUGAAGGAACUAGGCAAAAUGGCACCGUAACUUCGGGAGAAGGUGCGCCGGUGAGGGUGAAGGAUUUACUCCGUAAGCCCAUGCCGGUCGAAGAUACCAGGCCGCUGCGACUGUUUAUUAAAAACACAGCACUCUGCAAACACGAAAGUGGACGUAUAGGGUGUGACGCCUGCCCGGUGCCGGAAGGUUAAGAGGAGGGGUGCAAGCUCUGAAUCGAAGCCCCAGUAAACGGCGGCCGUAACUAUAACGGUCCUAAGGUAGCGAAAUUCCUUGUCGGGUAAGUUCCGACCUGCACGAAUGGCGUAACGACUUCCCCGCUGUCUCCAACGCAGACUCAGUGAAAUUGAAUUCCCCGUGAAGAUGCGGGGUUCCUGCGGUCAGACGGAAAGACCCCGUGCACCUUUACUAUAGCUUUACACUGGCAUUCGUGUCGGCAUGUGUAGGAUAGGUGGUAGGCUUUGAAGCGUGGGCGCCAGCUCGCGUGGAGCCAUCCUUGAAAUACCACCCUUAUCGUCAUGGAUGUCUAACCGCGGUCCGUCAUCCGGAUCCGGGACAGUGUAUGGUGGGUAGUUUGACUGGGGCGGUCGCCUCCCAAAGAGUAACGGAGGCGCGCGAUGGUGGGCUCAGACCGGUCGGAAAUCGGUCGUCGAGUGCAAUGGCAUAAGCCCGCCUGACUGCGAGACAGACAAGUCGAGCAGAGACGAAAGUCGGUCAUAGUGAUCCGGUGGUCCCGCGUGGAAGGGCCAUCGCUCAACGGAUAAAAGGUACGCCGGGGAUAACAGGCUGAUGACCCCCAAGAGUCCAUAUCGACGGGGUUGUUUGGCACCUCGAUGUCGGCUCAUCGCAUCCUGGGGCUGGAGCAGGUCCCAAGGGUUUGGCUGUUCGCCAAUUAAAGCGGUACGUGAGCUGGGUUCAGAACGUCGUGAGACAGUUCGGUCCCUAUCUGCCGUGGGUGCAGGAAUAUUGACAGGAUCUGUCCCUAGUACGAGAGGACCGGGAUGGACAUACCUCUGGUGGACCUGUUGUGGCGCCAGCCGCAGUGCAGGGUAGCUAUGUAUGGACGGGAUAACCGCUGAAAGCAUCUAAGCGGGAAACCCACCUGGAAACGAGUAUUCCCUAUNNNNNNNNNNNNNNNNNNNNNNNNNNNNNNNNNNNNNNNNNNNNNNNNNNNNNNNNNNNNNNNNNNNNNNNNNNNNNNNNNNNNNNNNNNNNNNNNNNNNCAGCCAU
RNAcentral lists this ribosomal RNA (2896 nucleotides) under Oryza sativa Indica Group (long-grained rice). Its description in RNAcentral is "Bacterial large subunit ribosomal RNA". It matches the Rfam family "Bacterial large subunit ribosomal RNA". The record is from Rfam by way of RNAcentral. Lineage: Eukaryota; Viridiplantae; Streptophyta; Magnoliopsida; Poales; Poaceae.